UACGAAGGUCCCAAGCGUUAUCCGGAUUUAUUGGGUUUAAAGGGUGCGUAGGCGGCUUAUUAAGUCAGUGGUGAAAGCCCCAAGCUUAACUUGGGAACUGCCAUUGAUACUGAUGAGCUUGAGUAGAUUUGAGGCGGGCGGAAUGUGUCGUGUAGCGGUGAAAUGCUUAGAUAUGACACAGAACACCAAUUGCGUAGGCAGCUCGCUACACGAAUAUUGACUCUGAGGCACGAAAGCGUGGGGAUCAAACAGG
Molecule: ribosomal RNA, 253 nt
Filed under: uncultured bacterium
Lineage: Bacteria
Description: partial 16S ribosomal RNA
Rfam family: Bacterial small subunit ribosomal RNA
Source: RNAcentral